UACAGAGGUCCCGAGCGUUGUUCGGAUUCAUUGGGCGUAAAGGGUGCGUAGGUGGCGCCGUAAGUGGGGUGUGAAAUCCCGGGGCUUAACCCCGGGACUGCAUUCCAUACUGCGGUGCUUGAGGACUGGAGAGGAGACUGGAAUUUACGGUGUAGCAGUGAAAUGCGUAGAUAUUGGAAAGACCACCGAUGGCGAAGGCACUCUACUGGGCCAUUACUGACACUGAGAGACGAAAGCUAGGGGAGCAAAUGGG
RNAcentral lists this ribosomal RNA (253 nucleotides) under uncultured bacterium. RNAcentral's name for it is "partial 16S ribosomal RNA". It matches the Rfam family "Bacterial small subunit ribosomal RNA", at positions 524 to 776 of the family's 1533-position model. The record is from RNAcentral.